GAAACUAUUGUUCCUGUUUCACACAGAAGAAAACUGAGAUAGGCACUCAUCAUGAGCUCCUGUUCUCAUUCUGCAAAUGGUGAAGCUCUCUAUUGUCCUGACCCCACAGUUCCUGUCCCAUGACCAGGGCCAGCUCACCAAGGAGCUGCAGCAGCACAUAAAGUCAGUGACAUGCCCAUGCGAGUACCUGAGGAAGGUUAUCAAUACUCUGGCUGACCAUCAUCAUUGUGGGACUGGCUUUCGUGGAAGUCCUUGGUUACAUUUCAUUAUUGCGUUUCCGAGAAGUUAUAAAGUUUUCAUUAUCCUCUGGACAGUUUACCUUUGGAUGUCUCUCCUGAAGACUAUCUUGUGGUCUCGAAAUGGACAUGAUGGAUCCACGGAUGUACAGCAGAGAGCCUGGAGGUCCAACCGCUGUAGACAGAAAGGGCUGAGGUCCAUUUGUAUGCACACAAAGAAAAGAGUUUCUUCCUUUCCAGGAAAUAAAAUUGGCCUGAAAGACGUCAUUACUCUAUGGAGACAUGUGGAAACAAAAGUUAGAGCUAAAAUCCGUAAGAGGAAGGUGACAACGAAAAUCAACCAUCAUGACAAAAUCAAUGGAAAGAGGAAGACCGCCAAAAACCAGAAAAUGUUUCAACGUGUGCAAGAGUUGUGGCGGCGGGCAGAGGACUACCACAAACGCAAAAUCCCCCCUUCUGCAAGAAAGCCUCUUUGCAACUGGGUCAGAAUGGUGGCAGCGGAGCAUCGUCAUUCUUCAGGAUUGCCCUACUGGCCCUACCUCACAGCUGAAACUUUAAAAAACAGGAUGGGCCGCCAGCCACCUCCUCCAACUCAACAACAUUCUAUAACUGAUAACUCCCUGAGCCUCAAGACACCUCCCGAAUGUCUCCUUCGUCCCCUUCCACCCUCAGUGGAUGAUAAUAUCAAGGAGUGUCCUCUUGCUCCUCUUCCACCCUCUCCUCUUCCACCCUCAGUGGAUGAUAAUCUCAAGGAGUGUCUCCUUGCCCCUCUUCCACCCUCUCCUCUUCCACCCUCAGUGGAUGAUAAUCUCAAGACUCCUCCCUUAGCUACUCAGGAGGCCGAGGCAGAAAAACCACCCAAACCCAAGAGGUGGAGGGCGGAUGAGGUGUAA
Molecule: long non-coding RNA, 1129 nt
Filed under: Homo sapiens (human)
Lineage: Eukaryota; Metazoa; Chordata; Mammalia; Primates; Hominidae
Description: novel transcript
Source: RNAcentral